RNAcentral lists this ribosomal RNA (49 nucleotides) under Neofusicladium regnans. Its description in RNAcentral is "Sympoventuria regnans partial 28S ribosomal RNA". The record is from RNAcentral. Lineage: Eukaryota; Fungi; Ascomycota; Dothideomycetes; Venturiales; Sympoventuriaceae.
UUUGGCCUCGGAUCAGGUGGGGAUACCCGCUGAACUUAAGCAUAUCAAU